RNAcentral lists this transfer RNA (65 nucleotides) under Leptocorisa lepida. RNAcentral's name for it is "tRNA-Pro". Lineage: Eukaryota; Metazoa; Arthropoda; Insecta; Hemiptera; Alydidae. The record is from RNAcentral.
CAGUAAUUAGUUUAAUUUAAAAUAUCAAUUUUGGAGAUUGAAGAUGUGUUAGAGCAUUUUACUGA